Long non-coding RNA from Nematostella vectensis (starlet sea anemone), 691 nucleotides. RefSeq lists it as uncharacterized. The record is from RefSeq and is a predicted model, not a curated record. Lineage: Eukaryota; Metazoa; Cnidaria; Anthozoa; Actiniaria; Edwardsiidae. The transcript has 2 exons.
GCCUAUAAAGGGAAAGGAUGUGAGUGAGGUGUACCUAUACAGGAAGAGGAUGUGAGUGAUGUAUACCUAUACAGGGAGAGGAUGUGAGUGAUGUAUACCUAUAAAGGGAGAGAAUGUGAGUGAGGUAUACCUAUAAAGGGAGAGAAUGUGAGUGAAGUAUACCUAUACAGGUAGAGAAUGUUAGUGAAGUAUACCAACACAGGGAGAGAAUGUGAGUGAGGUAUACCUACACAGGGAGAGGAUGUGAGUGAGGUAUACCUAUACAGGGAGAGGAUGUGAGUGAGGUAUACCUAUACAGGGAGAGGAUGUGAGUGAGGUAUACCUAUACAGGGAGAGGAUGUGAGUGAGGUAUAUCUUUAAAAGGAGAGGGUCUAUACAGUAGACUCUUUUUUUAUGAUGGUCUAUAGAAUCUAUGUUUCCAAACAUAAUUCCCAAUACAGUCAUUUUAAAUGGUACUUGCAUGCUAUUAUAAAGCUUUAUUCUAUCCUAAUCAAGGCUUUGUGGCUGAUUUGGGAGGGGGAGAAGGGUAGAGAAAACUAUACAUAAAAAUACUGUACGGACAACACAAGAAAAACGUUUUGCAACACAAAAAGUUCUUAACCUAAAAACAUCUGAAGACAAAAACAUCUUAGGCCUAGAAAAUCUAUUGGACACUGAACAGGCCUAAUCUGUAUAUGCCAAUGCUACAAAA